AGGGAUGUAGCUCAGUGAUAGAAUGCUUGCCUUGCAUGUAUGAAACCCUGGGUUCAACCCCCAGUAUUCCAC
RNAcentral lists this transfer RNA (72 nucleotides) under Heterocephalus glaber (naked mole-rat). It matches the Rfam family "tRNA". Rfam says of the family: Transfer RNA (tRNA) molecules are approximately 80 nucleotides in length. Their secondary structure includes four short double-helical elements and three loops (D, anti-codon, and T loops). Lineage: Eukaryota; Metazoa; Chordata; Mammalia; Rodentia; Bathyergidae. The record is from Rfam by way of RNAcentral.